RNAcentral lists this small RNA (616 nucleotides) under Carex lenticularis var. lipocarpa. RNAcentral describes it as "eukaryotic LSU rRNA". The stretch from base 211 to 365 matches the Rfam family "5.8S ribosomal RNA". The record is from RNAcentral. Lineage: Eukaryota; Viridiplantae; Streptophyta; Magnoliopsida; Poales; Cyperaceae.
AACACGACCGUCGAACACGUGACAGAAUGCUGCCGCGGAGGCGCUUGCCGCCUCCUCGGCCCCACCGGCCUCCUCCCUCUCGCCCUUCGGGGCGCGUUGGUUGCUGGUCGGAAUACGGCGCGGGAUGACGCCAAGGAACACGGUAAAGCUGAGGCACCGGCGAGCCGCUCAAGGUCUCCGUCGGUUGCCAAGGCCAACAAAAAAAAAUAUGACUCUCGGCAACGGAUAUCUCGGCUCUCGCAUCGAUGAAGAACGUAGCGAAAUGCGAUACGUGGUGUGAAUUGCAGAAUCCCGUGAACCAUCGAGUCUUUGAACGCAAGUUGCGCCCGAGGGACCCUCCCGAGGGCACGCCUGCCUCAUGGGCGUUAGAAGCCCAUCCACGCUCUGUUGCCUGACCAACGGCAAAGAUGCGGACAUUGGCCCUCCGAGCCGCGAGGCGCGGUGGGCCUAAGUGUGCGGCCGUCGUACGUGGCCGGGAGCGGCGAGUGGUGGGCUACUGCGCACGUCACCCCGAGUCCCGUACUGACGCAGGGCCUUGUAUGACCCCCUAACGAGGAGCAYGCUGYCGCGGCUUGCGCUGCGCGGCGCCUUCGGACCGAUACCCCAGGUCAGGCGG